RNAcentral lists this ribosomal RNA (183 nucleotides) under uncultured bacterium. RNAcentral's name for it is "partial 16S ribosomal RNA". It matches the Rfam family "Bacterial small subunit ribosomal RNA", at positions 1318 to 1500 of the family's 1533-position model. The record is from RNAcentral.
GCACGAAGCCGGAAUCGCUAGUAAUCGCAGAUCAGCAUGCUGCGGUGAAUACGUUCCCGGGUCUUGUACACACCGCCCGUCACACCAUGGGAGUCGGAAAUGCCCGAAGUCAGUGGCCCAACCGCAAGGAGGGAGCUGCCGAAGGCAGGUCCGGUGACUGGGGUGAAGUCGUAACAAGGUACC